RNAcentral lists this long non-coding RNA (220 nucleotides) under Elaeis guineensis (African oil palm). RNAcentral describes it as "long non-coding RNA (EGUI_LNC020176)". Lineage: Eukaryota; Viridiplantae; Streptophyta; Magnoliopsida; Arecales; Arecaceae. The record is from RNAcentral.
AGUACAUCCAUAGGUAGGUUCCUAACCAAUUGUUUCUUCAAAUAAUUUCUAGCAAUCAGAUUUUGCCCCAGAUAUCUCUUCAACAGACAUGUGGCGCCUCCACUUAAAAAUUUGGUUAGAUCCAACUAAUAAUAUAACUACAUCAAGUGCAUCCAGCAAACAAAUAUCCAGGCCCGAGUGUGGUUCGACCAACCUGAUCAUUGAUCUGAAGGAGAUAGCA